RNAcentral lists this long non-coding RNA (307 nucleotides) under Astyanax mexicanus (Mexican tetra). Its description in RNAcentral is "lncRNA (ENSAMXG00005017077.1)". Lineage: Eukaryota; Metazoa; Chordata; Actinopteri; Characiformes; Acestrorhamphidae. The record is from RNAcentral.
CGCACACCAGGAAAUGAGGGAAUGUGACCUUGGCUGAGUCCCUCCCUCUGGCGACCAUAUGUCAUCACUCCAUCUACAACAGCGGAGAGAGAGAGAGAGAAAGAGAGAGAGAGAGAGAAAGUACCACUCUGUUCCAUCCAUCACUCCGCACCUCUUCAUCAUCUGCCUCUUCUUCUCCCCCGUUCCCAAACAAUAACUGCAGCCCACACACACCAUUACAGCGCCCUGUUUAUGGGCACAGGACAACUCAACAUUACGUUAACGAGGUCCUACUUUUCCUGAAUGCACUAAUCCAGCAGGACAAUGC